GUCUCUAUAGCUUAGUUGGUAGAGCAUCGGACUUUUAAUCCGCUGGUCCUCGGUUCGAGCCCGAGUGGAGACA
This 73-nucleotide transfer RNA is filed under the name Weissella muntiaci. RNAcentral describes it as "Weissella sp. 8H-2 tRNA-Lys". It matches the Rfam family "tRNA". Rfam says of the family: Transfer RNA (tRNA) molecules are approximately 80 nucleotides in length. Their secondary structure includes four short double-helical elements and three loops (D, anti-codon, and T loops). Lineage: Bacteria; Bacillati; Bacillota; Bacilli; Lactobacillales; Lactobacillaceae. The record is from RNAcentral.